CCUACGGGUGGCAGCAGUGAGGAAUAUUGGUCAAUGGGCGAGAGCCUGAACCCGCCAAGUCGCGUGUAGGAUGCAGGCCCUAUGGUUUGUACACUUCUUUUAUAUGGGAAUAAAGUGAGCAACGUGUUCGUUUUUUUAUGUACCAUAUUAAUAAGCAUCGGCUAACUCCAUGCCAGCAGCCGAGGUAAUACGGAGGAUGCGAGCGUUAUCCGGAUUUAUUGGGUUUAAAGGGAGCGUAGGUGGGUAGUUAAGUCAGUUGUGAAAGUUUGUGGCUCAACCUGAAAAUUGCAGUUGAGACUGGUAGACUUGAGUAUAUUUGAGGUAGGCGGAAUGCGUGGUGUAGCGGUGAAAUGCAUAGAUAUCACGAAGAACUCCGAUUGCGAAGGCAGCUUACUGAACUAUAACUGACACUGAGGCACGAAAGCGUGGGGAUCAAACAGGAUUAGAUACCCGGGUAGUC
Molecule: ribosomal RNA, 460 nt
Filed under: uncultured bacterium
Lineage: Bacteria
Description: partial 16S ribosomal RNA
Rfam family: Bacterial small subunit ribosomal RNA
Source: RNAcentral